UUGGUCAUUUAGAGGAAGUAAAAGUCGUAACAAGGUUUCCGUAGGUGAACCUGCGGAAGGAUCAUUAUCGAGUUUUUGAAAAGGUUGUUGCUGACCCCUUUCACGAGAGGGGUAUGUGCACGCUUUGUCCCAAAUUUUACCACCUGUGCACCUUUUGUAGGCCGGCUUCGCAAGAAAUCGGUUUAUGUUUUUACAUACCCAUUUAAGGCUAUAGAAUGUCCUAUUAUAGUAUAGGCUUGUCCUAAAAAGGCAAGCUGAAAUUUAUACAACUUUCAACAACGGAUCUCUUGGCUCUCGCAUCGAUGAAGAACGCAGCGAAAUGCGAUAAGUAAUGUGAAUUGCAGAAUUCAGUGAAUCAUCGAAUCUUUGAACGCACCUUGCGCCCCUUGGUAUUCUGAGGAGCAUGCCUGUUUGAGUGUCAUUAAAUUCUCAACCCUCACCAGGGUUUCUGGUGGGAGGCUUGGAUUUGGAGUGUGCUGGCUUCUAGGAGUCGGCUCCUCUUUAAAUGCAUUAGCGUACCCUUUGUGGAUAGGCUUUGGUUUGAUAAUUAUCUAUGCCAUUGUCGUGAAGCAAUUUGAUGAAGGUUUUCGCUUCCAACUGUCCUUGGACAACUCUUGAUAUUUUGACCUCAAAUCAGGUAGGACUACCCGCUGAACUUAAGCAUAUCAAUAAGCGGAGGAA
This 681-nucleotide ribosomal RNA is filed under the name Haasiella venustissima. RNAcentral's name for it is "eukaryotic LSU rRNA". The stretch from base 268 to 421 matches the Rfam family "5.8S ribosomal RNA". The record is from RNAcentral. Lineage: Eukaryota; Fungi; Basidiomycota; Agaricomycetes; Agaricales; Hygrophoraceae.